UUUUCGAGUGGACUCGGAGCAGUGUUGAGAAAAAACUAUGGAUCCUGGAAUUUUACUGUGGAUUUUACUGGUUUUCUGGAGUGCUCUCCCACUGAAGCAGCGAUCUGGUUGUCCAGAGAGUGUGCAGGAGCUGAUGUGCCUGUGUUCAGAGGGUAGGAGACCCUGGCUGGGUACCCAGCUGUGCAGCUGCCCCAAGCACAAAGGAAAAAUCCUGGCUGAAAUUAGAUGUGGCAGGUAUCAGCCACAUGGCAAAACAGAAGCCAGCUCACCUCUCCCGUGAGGGUUUGCUAAAGUCACAAUGAUGACCAGUGCAAACGAUGGCUCUGACAUCCUGAUGACACAAUGGUUCCAGGCAACAAAUUCACCAAAUGGAAGAAAAACACGAAGUAUUUUAUUUUCUGAAGCAAAGUGUAAGACAUUGCUCUGCACAAUUUCUCUUGUAAACCCAUCCUUGUGGCUGUUCAGCCUACUGAUGGUUACUCAAACUGUGAUUCAAGCAGAGCAUACAUUCAUUUAUAAAGUGUCUAGGAUG
Non-coding RNA from Lonchura striata (white-rumped munia), 532 nucleotides. The record is from RefSeq and is a predicted model, not a curated record. NCBI's taxonomy places the organism in Eukaryota, Metazoa, Chordata, Aves, Passeriformes, Estrildidae.